UACAUGUUAUUCGUUCUUGAAC
RNAcentral lists this microRNA (22 nucleotides) under Drosophila simulans. RNAcentral describes it as "Dsi-Mir-982-P1_3p (mature (guide))". The record is from RNAcentral. Lineage: Eukaryota; Metazoa; Arthropoda; Insecta; Diptera; Drosophilidae.